GACGAACGCUGGCGGCGUGCUUAAUACAUGCAAGUCGAGCGAAAGGACGAUAAGCUUGCUUCUUUGAUGUUAGCGGCGCACGGGUGAGUAACACGUGUAUCACCCCCCUAUAAUUCUGGGAUAACUUCGGGAAACCGUAGCUUAUACCGGAUAAUAUUUUGAACCGCAUGGUUCAAAGGUGAAUGACGGUCUUUCUGUCUCUUAUAGAUGCAUCCGCGCUGCAUUAGCUAGUUGUUAAGGUCACGGCUUAUCAAGGCUACGUUGCAUAGCCGACAUGAGAGGAUGGUCAGCCACACUGGAAGUGUGACACGGUACAGAGUGAUAGGGGAGGGAGCCAUAGGGAUACGUGCGCAAUGGGCGAAAGACUGACGGAGAAGCGCCGCGUGCGUAAUGAAGAUCUUCGGGUGGUAAAACUCGGUUAUUAGGGAGGAACAUAUGUGUAAGUGACUGUGAGCGUCUUGGCGGUAACUAAGCAGAGAGGCACGGCUAAAUACGUU
This 497-nucleotide ribosomal RNA is filed under the name uncultured bacterium. RNAcentral's name for it is "partial 16S ribosomal RNA". It matches the Rfam family "Bacterial small subunit ribosomal RNA", at positions 28 to 507 of the family's 1533-position model. The record is from RNAcentral.